AACGCGAAGAACCUUACCAGGUCCUGACAUCCCAGUGACCGCUCUAGAGAUAGAGUUUUUCUUCGGAACACUGGUGACAGGUGGUGCAUGGUUGUCGUCAGCUCGUGUCGUGAGAUGUUGGGUUAAGUCCCGCAACGAGCGCAACCCUUAUUGUUAGUUGCCAUCAUUCAGUUGGGCACUCUAGCGAGACUGCCGGUAAUAAACCGGAGGAAGGUGGGGAUGACGUCAAAUCAUCAUGCCCCUUAUGACCUGGGCUACACACGUGCUACAAUGGUUGGUACAACGAGUCGCAAGUCGGUGACGGCAAGCAAAUCUCUUAAAGCCGAUCUCAGUUCGGAUUGUAGGCUGCAACUCGCCUACAUGAAGUCGGAAUCGCUAGUAAUCGCGGAUCAGCACGCCGCGGUGAAUACGUUCCCGGGUCUUUACACACCG
Molecule: ribosomal RNA, 432 nt
Filed under: uncultured bacterium
Lineage: Bacteria
Description: bacterial SSU rRNA
Rfam family: Bacterial small subunit ribosomal RNA
Source: RNAcentral